AGCGGAGGAAAAGAAACUAACCGAGAUGCCACUUAKCUAUACGGYGAGCGAACCGGGCAAAGCCCCAACUUGAAAAUCUCCAGCCUAUGGCUGGCGAAUUGUAGUCUAGAGAAGCGCUCUCUGCCCCACCCCGGCCCCAAGUCCCCUGGAAAGGGGCGUCAAAGAGGGUGAGAACCCCGUUGGGACCGGAUUUUGGGGCUCCACGAGACGCUUUCGUAGAGUCGGGUUGCUUGGGAAUGCAGCCCAAAGAAGGUGGUAAAUCCCAUCUAAGGCUAAAUACAGACGGGAGACCGAUAGCGAACAAGUACCGUGAGGGAAAGAUGAAAAGAACUUUGAAAAGAGAGUUAAAAAGUACUUGAAAUUGUUGAGAGGGAAGCGAUUGGAUCCUACGGGUGCACCCAGGCACACGCCUGCCUAACGGUUGGCUGAAUGCGCUGGGUGCUGGUCAGCAUGGGUUGUCCGGGCGGGAUAAAACCGGGGGUUGUUACCCCGGCUAUGUCGCCUGGCCGACCGAGGAACGAAGGGCGCUCUUUGAGUCCUCCGGGAACUGCGCCCUCAAGAUGCUGGCGGAAAGGUUCUAAUCGGCCCGUCUUGAAACACGGACCAAGGAGUCUAACAUGCAUGCGAGCUGGUGGGUGGCAAACCCAUGAAGCGCAAGUAACCUGACUGGUGGGACGGCCUGUGCCUGCACCAUCGACCCCGCUUGAUGUUUUCAGAAGGCUGGGAGUACGAGCAUGCACGUUGGGACCCGAAAGAUGGUGAACUAUGCCUGAGCAGGGCGAAGCCAGAGGAAACUCUGGUGGAGGCUCGUAGAUGUGCUGACGUGCAAAUCGCWUUUCGGACUGUGGGUAUAGGGGCGAAAGACUAAUCGAACCUUCUAGUA
Molecule: ribosomal RNA, 883 nt
Filed under: Chlorella vulgaris
Lineage: Eukaryota; Viridiplantae; Chlorophyta; Trebouxiophyceae; Chlorellales; Chlorellaceae
Description: eukaryotic LSU rRNA
Rfam family: Eukaryotic large subunit ribosomal RNA
Source: RNAcentral